AGGGAUAUAGCUCAGUUGGUAGAGUAUUUGUCUUGUAUGCAUAAGCCCUGGGUUCAAUCCCCAGUACCACAA
This is a non-coding RNA of Ictidomys tridecemlineatus (thirteen-lined ground squirrel), 72 nucleotides long. Lineage: Eukaryota; Metazoa; Chordata; Mammalia; Rodentia; Sciuridae. The record is from Rfam.